This 506-nucleotide ribosomal RNA is filed under the name uncultured bacterium. Its description in RNAcentral is "bacterial SSU rRNA". It matches the Rfam family "Bacterial small subunit ribosomal RNA", at positions 28 to 525 of the family's 1533-position model. The record is from RNAcentral.
GACGAACGCUGGCGGCGUGGAUUAGGCAUGCAAGUCGAACGGUAUCAUCCUUUCGGGGGUGAGAGAGUGGCGAACUGGUGAGUAACACGUAGGUUAUCUACCCUCAAGACGGGGACAACCCAGGGAAACUUGGGCUAAUACCGGAUGUGAGCAACUUUUAGUUGUUUGAAAGGUGGCGUAAGCUGUCGCUUGGGGAUGAGCCUGCGUCCUAUUAGUUAGUUGGUGAGGUAACGGCUCACCUAGGCAAUGAUAGGUAGGCGGCCUUAACGGGUGGUCGCCCACACUGGGAUUGAGAUACGGCCCAGACUCCUACGGGAGGCAGCAGUCGAGAAUAGUCUACAAUGGUCGGAAGACUGAUAGUGCGACGCCGCGUGAACGAUGAAUCCCUUCGGGGUGUAAAGUUCUUUUAUAUGUGAGCAGUGCUUCUUAUAUUAACAGUAUGGGGAGAGAGAUAUUAGCAUAUGAAUAAGCAACGGCUAAACUCCGUGCCAGCAGCCGCGGUAAUA